RNAcentral lists this transfer RNA (74 nucleotides) under Methylobacterium nonmethylotrophicum. RNAcentral's name for it is "Methylobacterium sp. 6HR-1 tRNA-Gly". The record is from RNAcentral. Lineage: Bacteria; Pseudomonadati; Pseudomonadota; Alphaproteobacteria; Hyphomicrobiales; Methylobacteriaceae.
CCGGACCUGCCAGGAAGGGCCUUAUCAGCUUCCCAAGCUGAAUGUCGUCGGUUCGAUCCCGAUCGCCCGCUCCA